RNAcentral lists this ribosomal RNA (458 nucleotides) under uncultured bacterium. RNAcentral describes it as "partial 16S ribosomal RNA". It matches the Rfam family "Bacterial small subunit ribosomal RNA", at positions 338 to 795 of the family's 1533-position model. The record is from RNAcentral.
CCUACGGGUGGCAGCAGUGAGGAAUAUUGGUCAAUGGGCGAGAGCCUGAACCAGCCAAGUCGCGUGAGGGAGUACUGCCCUAUGGGUUGUAAACCUCUUUUGUCGGGGAGCAAAAGCCGGACGUGUCCGGCUGUGAGAGUUCCCGAAGAAAAAGCAUCCGCUAACUCCGUGCCAGCAGCCGCGGUAAUACGGAGGAUGCGAGCGUUAUCCGGAUUUAUUGGGUUUAAAGGGGUCGCAGGCGGAUUUUUAAGUCAGCGGUAAAAACGUGGGGCUCAACCCCAUCCAGCCGUUGAAACUGGGGGUCUAGAGUGUGCGAGAGGUAUGCGGAAUGCGUGGGGUAGCGGUGAAAUGCAUAGAUAUCACGCAGAACCCCGAUUGCGAAGGCAGCAUACCGGUGCACAACUGACGCUCAGGCACGAAAGCGUGGGUAUCGAACAGGAUUAGAUACCCUUGUAGUC